Molecule: ribosomal RNA, 388 nt
Filed under: uncultured bacterium
Lineage: Bacteria
Description: bacterial SSU rRNA
Rfam family: Bacterial small subunit ribosomal RNA
Source: RNAcentral
AUUGAACGCUGGCGGCAUGCCUUACACAUGCAAGUCGAACGGCAGCGGGCCUUCGGGUGCCGGCGAGUGGCGAACGGGUGAGUAAUGCAUCGGAACGUGCCAUUGAGUGGGGGAUAACGUAGCGAAAGUUGCGCUAAUACCGCAUAUUCUGUGAGCAGGAAAGCAGGGGACCGCAAGGCCUUGCGCUCUUUGAGCGGCCGAUGUCAGAUUAGCUAGUUGGUGAGGUAAAGGCUUACCAAGGCGACGAUCUGUAGCGGGUCUGAGAGGAUGAUCCGCCACACUGGAACUGAGACACGGUCCAGACUCCUACGGGAGGCAGCAGUGGGGAAUUUCGGACAAUGGGGGCAACCCUGAUCCAGCCAUGCCGCGUGAGUGAAGAAGGCCUCGG